GUGUCAGCAGCCGCGGUAAUACAGAGGGUGCGAGCGUUAAUCGGAUUUACUGGGCGUAAAGCGUGCGUAGGCGGCUUAUUAAGUCGGAUGUGAAAUCCCUGAGCUUAACUUGGGAACUGCAUUCGAUACUGGUGAGCUAGAGUAUGGGAGAGGAUGGUAGAAUUCCAGGUGUAGCGGUGAAAUGCGUAGAGAUCUGGAGGAAUACCGAUGGCGAAGGCAGCCAUCUGGCCUAAUACUGACGCUGAGGUACGAAAGCAUGGGGAGCAAACAGGAUUAGAAACCCCAGUAGUCC
This 292-nucleotide ribosomal RNA is filed under the name uncultured Acinetobacter sp. Its description in RNAcentral is "partial 16S ribosomal RNA". It matches the Rfam family "Bacterial small subunit ribosomal RNA", at positions 505 to 796 of the family's 1533-position model. Lineage: Bacteria; Pseudomonadati; Pseudomonadota; Gammaproteobacteria; Moraxellales; Moraxellaceae. The record is from RNAcentral.